This 1347-nucleotide unclassified non-coding RNA is filed under the name Hevea brasiliensis (rubber tree). Lineage: Eukaryota; Viridiplantae; Streptophyta; Magnoliopsida; Malpighiales; Euphorbiaceae. The record is from RNAcentral.
CUUUUUCUUGCUUAUAAACCCACCUCCCCUGCUUUCAUCUCCUCUCACAGGAACUUCUUAAAAAAUAAGAACUUUCCCCUGUUUUCUCCUCUUGGGCUCUCCUCUCUACGCAGUAGCAAGCAGCAAUACUUCAUCUUCAUCAACAGCCUCAUUUGGGUUUUUCUUUAACUUCCUUCGCCUGCUCGCUCUCUUUAUUUCUGAGUAUUGAUCAGCAAGUGAUUUUAAGAGAUGGGCUGCUCGGGAUUUGACACUUGUGGUAUCCGAUUCUUUUUCUACUUCAGUCGGAUUGGCUAUUAAAUUCCAGACCAGAUUCUCGAUUUCGGUCUUGAUAAAUAUUUUUAGAAUCUUUUGACCAAAUUAGGAUCUGGGUUUUAUUUGUCUAUUUGUUUUUUUGUUGCGCUUGAUUCCUAUCUGUUCUUAUCUCAAUUUUCUUGGUGACCCAUCUCGAAAUUCUCCAUCAUUCAUUUGCUUAUAUAGUCUUUAGAGAGAGCGAGCAGGUUAGUUAUAUUUUCCAUAAUGGCUGCGGCUAAAAACAGCACAGGAAAAUCCAAGAAGGGUGUUGAUGAAACUCAGAGAUUGACGAGGCAAGAUUGGGAGCUUGACAGGGGCAAGAAGGAAGCUGACCUUAGCUUACCUGAAAGGCAGCAAUGGAAGCCAGUUUUUGGUGAAGCUUCCAUGGCAGAAAGACCUCCCAAGAAGAUCCGCAGCCCUGAACGCCAAGACCCAAUUCAAUUCUCUGCAUUUUCAGCACAUCAAUCCGUACCUUCUUUCUCUGUUUCUCCUAGCUUUGCCUCAGCUCUUUCUUUACAUCCACCUUCUUCUUCUGUCUCGUCUUCUAGUUCAAGACUUCUAUUUCCCUUUUCUUUUGAAGGGUGUAAUCAACCUAUGCAAUUCUCUCACCAGUUUAGAACAAACCCAUCUUUGCAUUAUUUUCGUUCACCACCUCAAGUGGCACAAAAUCAACAACAAAUGAUUUCUUUUGCUCAAAACCAGCAGCAAGGCAUCGGUUAUCCGCCAUUUUUUGCCGAGGAAUCUGCAUUGGCGGCGCAGCAGCAACAGCUGUUUCAGUACUGGAGUAAUGCAUUGAACUUAAGUCCAAGAGGAAGGAUGAUGAUGAUGAAUAGGCUGGGGCCAGAUGGUAGGCCAUUGUUUAGGCCACCGGUUCAGCCUAUAAACACAACAAAGCUUUACAGGGGAGUGAGGCAAAGACAUUGGGGUAAAUGGGUAGCUGAGAUUCGUCUCCCCCGUAAUAGGACUCGGCUUUGGCUAGGCACGUUUGACACAGCUGAAGAUGCUGCCAUGGCUUAUGAUCGCGAGGCUUUUAAGUUGAGAGGAGAGAAUGCAAGG